This 404-nucleotide ribosomal RNA is filed under the name Actinomycetes bacterium. RNAcentral describes it as "Actinobacteria bacterium partial 16S ribosomal RNA". It matches the Rfam family "Bacterial small subunit ribosomal RNA", at positions 355 to 776 of the family's 1533-position model. The record is from RNAcentral. Lineage: Bacteria; Bacillati; Actinomycetota; Actinomycetes.
UGGGGAAUAUUGGACAAUGGGCGCAAGCCUGAUCCAGCCAUGCCGCGCGAGUGAUGAAGGCCCUAGGGUUGUAAAGCUCUUUCACCGGUGAAGAUAAUGACGGUAACCGGAGAAGAAGCCCCGGCUAACUUCGUGCCAGCAGCCGCGGUAAUACGAAGGGGGAUAGCGUUGUUCGGAUUUACUGGGCGUAAAGCGCACGUAGGCGGACUAUUAAGUCAGGGGUGAAAUCCCGGGGCUCAACCCCGGAACUGCCUUUGAUACUGGUAGUCUUGAGUUCGAGAGAGGUGAGUGGAAUUCCGAGUGUAGAGGUGAAAUUCGUAGAUAUUCGGAGGAACACCAGUGGCGAAGGCGGCUCACUGGCUCGAUACUGACGCUGAGGUGCGAAAGCGUGGGGAGCAAACAGG